Molecule: ribosomal RNA, 471 nt
Filed under: uncultured organism
Description: partial 16S ribosomal RNA
Rfam family: Bacterial small subunit ribosomal RNA
Source: RNAcentral
ACACUCCUGCGGGAGGCAGCAGUGGGGAAUUUUGGACAAUGGGCGAAAGCCUGAACCAGCAAUGCCGCGUGAGUGAAGAAGGCCUUCGGGUUGUAAAGCUCUUUUGUCAGGGAAGAAACGGUGAGAGCUAAUAUCUUUUGCUAAUGACGGUACCUGAAGAAUAAGCACCGGCUAACUACGUGCCAGCAGCCGCGGUAAUACGUAGGGUGCAAGCGUUAAUCGGAAUUACUGGGCGUAAAGCGUGCGCAGGCGGUUUUGUAAGUCUGAUGUGAAAUCCCCGGGCUCAACCUGGGAAUUGCAUUGGAGACUGCAAGGCUAGAAUCUGGCAGAGGGGGGUAGAAUUCCACGUGUAGCAGUGAAAUGCGUAGAUAUGUGGAGGAACACCGAUGGCGAAGGCAGCCCCCUGGGUCAAGAUUGACGCUCAUGCACGAAAGCGUGGGGAGCAAACAGGAUUAGAUACCCCGGUAGUCC